Amphimedon queenslandica is the source of this 374-nucleotide long non-coding RNA. RefSeq lists it as uncharacterized. The transcript is spliced from 3 exons. NCBI's taxonomy places the organism in Eukaryota, Metazoa, Porifera, Demospongiae, Haplosclerida, Niphatidae. The record is from RefSeq and is a predicted model, not a curated record.
AUACUACAUACACACAUGGAUAUGAAACAGGAAGUCGGUAUCCAAUUAACUCUUUGAAGUUCACCUGUAAACGUCAUAACCAGCAUAGCUCUAUCCUUGGCGCUUUUCUCUCUGUCUAUGUUUUCAAGAAUUUUCUUGACUCACUUAUUUUUGUGAAAGAAGGCCUCAUGUUUACAUGACAAAAUUAGAAGACCUCCAUUUUUAUUUGUAACCACCUUUUCUAGACUCUCGAACGGAGUUAGCUAUGAGAACUGAGUAGUGAAAGAAUAGGUUAUUUACCAAGAAACACAAGCAGGAUUUCAGUGGCAUUGAUGAGACAUUGUUACAUGAUUGUAAAGCUUUAUAUUUAUGCUACCACAGAGAACUAUCAAGAC